This 438-nucleotide ribosomal RNA is filed under the name uncultured Rhodobacter sp. RNAcentral's name for it is "bacterial SSU rRNA". It matches the Rfam family "Bacterial small subunit ribosomal RNA", at positions 97 to 570 of the family's 1533-position model. Lineage: Bacteria; Pseudomonadati; Pseudomonadota; Alphaproteobacteria; Rhodobacterales. The record is from RNAcentral.
GGCGGACGGGUGAGUAACGCGUGGGAACGUGCCCUUUUCUUCGGAAUAGCCUCGGGAAACUGAGAUUAAUGCCGGAUACGCCCUUUUGGGGAAAGAUUUAUCGGAGAAGGAUCGGCCCGCGUCUGAUUAGGUAGUUGGUGGGGUAAUGGCCUACCAAGCCGACGAUCAGUAGCUGGUUUGAGAGGAUGAUCAGCCACACUGGGACUGAGACACGGCCCAGACUCCUACGGGAGGCAGCAGUGGGGAAUCUUGGACAAUGGGGGCAACCCUGAUCCAGCCAUGCCGCGUGAACGAUGAAGGCCUUAGGGUUGUAAAGUUCUUUCAGCGAGGAAGAUAAUGACGGUACUCGCAGAAGAAGCCCCGGCUAACUCCGUGCCAGCAGCCGCGGUAAUACGGAGGGGGCUAGCGUUGUUCGGAAUUACUGGGCGUAAAGCGCAC